This 472-nucleotide ribosomal RNA is filed under the name uncultured bacterium. RNAcentral's name for it is "bacterial SSU rRNA". It matches the Rfam family "Bacterial small subunit ribosomal RNA", at positions 335 to 799 of the family's 1533-position model. The record is from RNAcentral.
ACUCCUACGGGAGGCAGCAGUGGGGAAUAUUGCACAAUGGGCGCAAGCCUGAUGCAGCCAUGCCGCGUGUGUGAAGAAGGCCUUCGGGUUGUAAAGCACUUUCAGUUGUGAGGAAGGUGGUGUCGUUAAUAGCGGCAUCAUUUGACGUUAGCAACAGAAGAAGCACCGGCUAACUCCGUGCCAGCAGCCGCGGUAAUACGGAGGGUGCGAGCGUUAAUCGGAAUUACUGGGCGUAAAGCGCAUGCAGGUGGUUUGUUAAGUCAGAUGUGAAAGCCCGGGGCUCAACCUCGGAACUGCAUUUGAAACUGGCAGACUAGAGUACUGUAGAGGGGGGUAGAAUUUCAGGUGUAGCGGUGAAAUGCGUAGAGAUCUGAAGGAUACCGGUGGCGAAGGCGGCCCCCUGGACAGAUACUGACACUCAGAUGCGAAAGCGUGGGAGCAAACAGGAUUAGAUACCCGUGGUAGCACAGAG